RNAcentral lists this ribosomal RNA (250 nucleotides) under uncultured prokaryote. RNAcentral describes it as "partial 16S ribosomal RNA". It matches the Rfam family "Bacterial small subunit ribosomal RNA", at positions 524 to 774 of the family's 1533-position model. The record is from RNAcentral.
UACGUAGGGGGCGAGCGUUAUCCGGAUUUAUUGGGUGUAAAGCGUGUGUAGGCGGUUUCUUAAGUCUAAGGUUCAAGGCUGGAGCUUAACUCCAGUUUGCCUCGGAAACUGGGUUACUUGAGUAUGGUAGAGGUAAGUGGAAUUUCUAGUGUAGCGGUUAAAUGCGUAGAUAUUAGAAGGAACAUCAGUGGCGAAGGCGACUUACUGGGCCAUCACUGACGCUGAGACACGAAAGCGUGGGGAGCAAAUA